AAAACAAUUUGGAGAAGGACUUGGGAGAUAUGUAACUGGAAUGAAUUUUAACUCUAUAAUGGCAUCUAAUUCAGCUGUGGAAAUUGAAAAUGAGAGGGGCAAAGAAACCCUACUAGAAAGUUUGUUCAUUCACCUGAAGAUGUUCAGGCAAGGGAUUCAUCUAGUGACUCAUCUUUUGAACCAAGACCAUUGACUUUAAAAGCUAUUUUUGAAAGAUUCAAAAAAAAGAAACGUAAAAAGAGGAAAUAUAAACCAACAGGAAGACCAAGGGGAAGACCAAAAGGGAGAAAAAACACUAGACGUUCCCAAAUAAAUAAGAAACAAGUUCAAGAUAAAGGAUCUGGGUUCCCAUUUUUAGAAUCUGAGAAUGCAAGAAAACCAUUACCUUGGAGAAAAAUUUUAACCUUUGAGCAGUGGCAAGAGGAUUUUUCAACUACCUUGAAAAACUGAAGUAUGAAUACUACCUCAAGGAAUCCUUGAAACAAAUGAAUGUUGGUGAAGAUUUAGAAAAAGAAGAUUUUGACAGUCGUAGAUACAAAUACUUGGAUGAUGAUGGUUCUCUCUCUCCUAUUGAAGAAUCAGAAACAGAGGAGGCUGCAACAAAUCUUGAACAUAAUGAUGAAUGUGAUAUCAAAUUGGUGGUAAGUAACAUUUUUUCCCAUUUCAGGAGGAUAGCAGUUGUACAGGAAGAAUUUAAUCCACUAGUUAGUAUCUUAGAUUCUGAACUUAAUUUUUGA
Molecule: long non-coding RNA, 737 nt
Filed under: Zalophus californianus (California sea lion)
Lineage: Eukaryota; Metazoa; Chordata; Mammalia; Carnivora; Otariidae
Description: lncRNA (ENSZCAG00015006687.1)
Source: RNAcentral